This is a long non-coding RNA of Hyla sarda, 465 nucleotides long. RefSeq lists it as uncharacterized. NCBI's taxonomy places the organism in Eukaryota, Metazoa, Chordata, Amphibia, Anura, Hylidae. The transcript is spliced from 3 exons. The record is from RefSeq and is a predicted model, not a curated record.
ACUUUUUGUGCUGUGGUGGAGAUUGCAUGCUUAUGGACUGCUGACUUGCUAGUUGGCUGACCACGUGCACAUACAGAGGGGGUCUUUGCUGGCUCUUAUGCUUGCAACUAUACUUUAACACAGACGGCGCUAACUGGGUUCCCACAUGUUAAAAUUGGGCUGACUACUUCCCUGGAUAAAAUGAAAAUCAUGUUGGGGGCAAAUUAAGCCCAUCUGUAUUACAUAAUAUAUUAUAUUCUAUACUACUGCAUUAAUAGGUUCCCCUGAGGACGUCCUUGUGCGUUCUCACUGGCACAUGGACAGAAACGUGUUGGGAACAACUGACAUAACAUAAGGGAACACCUUGGCUGUAUGUAAUACAUAUUGUGAUGUAAUGAAUAGUAUGAGGGAGGAAUCUGGAACAUCCCCAAUACUACUAUAGGAUAGGUCCAUUGUGAUUGAUCCCGGAUAUCCAUAAGGGAUAAG